UACAGAGGGUGCAAGCGUUAAUCGGAAUUACUGGGCGUAAAGCGCGCGUAGGUGGUUUGUUAAGUUGAAUGUGAAAUCCCCGGGCUCAACCUGGGAACUGCAUCCAAAACUGGCAAGCUAGAGUAGGGCAGAGGGUGGUGGAAUUGCCGGUGUAGUGGUGAAAUGCGUAGAGAUCGGCAGGAACACCCAGGGAGAAAUCAGCCGCCUGGGCAAGUGCUGACGCUGAGGUGCGAAAGCGUGGGGAGCGAACCGG
Molecule: ribosomal RNA, 253 nt
Filed under: uncultured bacterium
Lineage: Bacteria
Description: partial 16S ribosomal RNA
Rfam family: Bacterial small subunit ribosomal RNA
Source: RNAcentral